GACGAACGCUGGCGGCGUGCUUAACACAUGCAAGUCGAACGGUGAAGCGCCUUCCUUUUUGGUGGGUGUGGAUGAGUGGCGAACGGGUGAGUAACACGUGAGUAACCUGCCCCCUUCUUCUGGAUAACCGCAUGAAAGUGUGGCUAAUACGGGAUAUUCUGGGUCUGUCGCAUGAUGGGUCUGGGAAAGAUAUUGUUUCGGUGGGGGAUGGGCUCGCGGCCUAUCAGCUUGUUGGUGGGGUGAUGGCCUACCAAGGCGGUGACGGGUAGCCGGCCUGGGAGGGUGGACGGUCACACUGGGGCUGAGACACGGCCCAGACUCCUACGGGAGGCAGCAGUGGGGAAUAUGGCACAAUGGGCGAAAGCCUGAUGCAGCGACGCCGCGUGAGGGAUGGAGGCCUGCGGGUUGUGAACCUCUUUCGCCAGUGAAGCAGGCCUGCCUCGUUUGUGGGUGGGUUGACGGUAGCUGGAUAAGAAGCGCCGGCUAACUACGUG
Molecule: ribosomal RNA, 494 nt
Filed under: uncultured bacterium
Lineage: Bacteria
Description: partial 16S ribosomal RNA
Rfam family: Bacterial small subunit ribosomal RNA
Source: RNAcentral